RNAcentral lists this ribosomal RNA (466 nucleotides) under uncultured bacterium. Its description in RNAcentral is "partial 16S ribosomal RNA". It matches the Rfam family "Bacterial small subunit ribosomal RNA", at positions 28 to 507 of the family's 1533-position model. The record is from RNAcentral.
GAUGAACGCUGGCGGCGUGCUUAACACAUGCAAGUCGAACGGAAAGGCUCCUGCUUGCAGGGGUACUCGAGUGGCGAACGGGUGAGUAACACGUGGGUGAUCUGCCCUGCACUUCGGGAUAAGCCUGGGAAACUGGGUCUAAUACCGGAUAGGACGAUGGUUUGGAUGCCAUUGUGGAAAGUUUUUUCGGUGUGGGAUGAGCUCGCGGCCUAUCAGCUUGUUGGUGGGGUAAUGGCCUACCAGGGCGUCGACGGGUAGCCGGCCUGAGAGGGUGUACGGCCACAUUGGGACUGAGAUACGGCCCAGACUCCUACGGGAGGCAGCAGUGGGGAAUAUUGCACAAUGGGCGCAAGCCUGAUGCAGCGACGCCGCGUGGGGGAUGACGGCCUUCGGGUUGUAAACUCCUUUCGCUAGGGACGAAGCGCAAGUGACGGUACCUGGAGAAGAAGCACCGGCUAACUACGUG